CAAGUCAUACUUUAGAAGUAAGAAUUAUUUACAAUAAUUUUUUAGUUUGUGCAAUUCAGCUUGAUUUGA
RNAcentral lists this transfer RNA (69 nucleotides) under Bryanellocoris orientalis. RNAcentral describes it as "tRNA-Val". Lineage: Eukaryota; Metazoa; Arthropoda; Insecta; Hemiptera; Rhyparochromidae. The record is from RNAcentral.